AAAAGUAGCUUGCUACUUAACCUAGCGGCGGACGGGUGAGUAAUGCUUAGGAAUCUGCCUAUUAGUGGGGGACAACAUCUCGAAAGGGAUGCUAAUACCGCAUACGUCCUACGGGAGAAAGCAGGGGACCUUCGGGCCUUGCGCUAAUAGAUGAGCCUAAGUCGGAUUAGCUAGUUGGUGGGGUAAAGGCCUACCAAGGCGACGAUCUGUAGCGGGUCUGAGAGGAUGAUCCGCCACACUGGGACUGAGACACGGCCCAGACUCCUACGGGAGGCAGCAGUGGGGAAUAUUGGACAAUGGGGGGAACCCUGAUCCAGCCAUGCCGCGUGUGUGAAGAAGGCCUUUUGGUUGUAAAGCACUUUAAGCGAGGAGGAGGCUACCGAGAUUAAUACUCUUGGAUAGUGGACGUUACUCGCAGAAUAAGCACCGGCUAACUCUGUGCCAGCAGCCGCGGUAAUACAGAGGGUGCAAGCGUUAAUCGGAUUUACUGGGCGUAAAGCGCGCGUAGGUGGCCAAUUAAGUCAAAUGUGAAAUCCCCGAGCUUAACUUGGGAAUUGCAUUCGAUACUGGUUGGCUAGAGUAUGGGAGAGGAUGGUAGAAUUCCAGGUGUAGCGGUGAAAUGCGUAGAGAUCUGGAGGAAUACCGAUGGCGAAGGCAGCC
RNAcentral lists this ribosomal RNA (660 nucleotides) under uncultured Pseudomonadales bacterium. RNAcentral's name for it is "bacterial SSU rRNA". It matches the Rfam family "Bacterial small subunit ribosomal RNA", at positions 71 to 726 of the family's 1533-position model. The record is from RNAcentral. Lineage: Bacteria; Pseudomonadati; Pseudomonadota; Gammaproteobacteria; Pseudomonadales.